RNAcentral lists this ribosomal RNA (466 nucleotides) under Vreelandella stevensii. Its description in RNAcentral is "partial 16S ribosomal RNA". It matches the Rfam family "Bacterial small subunit ribosomal RNA", at positions 338 to 795 of the family's 1533-position model. Lineage: Bacteria; Pseudomonadati; Pseudomonadota; Gammaproteobacteria; Oceanospirillales; Halomonadaceae. The record is from RNAcentral.
CCUACGGGAGGCAGCAGUGGGGAAUAUUGGACAAUGGGGGCAACCCUGAUCCAGCCAUGCCGCGUGUGUGAAGAAGGCCCUCGGGUUGUAAAGCACUUUCAGUGAGGAAGAACGCCUGGUGGUUAAUACCCAUCAGGAAAGACAUCACUCACAGAAGAAGCACCGGCUAACUCCGUGCCAGCAGCCGCGGUAAUACAGGAGGGUGCGAGCGUUAAUCGGAAUUACUGGGCGUAAAGCGCGCGUAGGUGGCUUGAUAAGCCGGUUGUGAAAGCCCCGGGCUCAACCUGGGAACGGCAUCCGGAACUGUCAAGCUAGAGUGCAGGAGAGGAAGGUAGAAUUCCCGGUGUAGCGGUGAAAUGCGUAGAGAUCGGGAGGAAUACCAGUGGCGAAGGCGGCCUUCUGGACUGACACUGACACUGAGGUGCGAAAGCGUGGGUAGCAAACAGGAUUAGAUACCCUAGUAGUC